UGUUUACCGGGCCGGUCCAGGCCGGUCGUCCACGUGUAAUACGAGUGUCACGAAUGACACAUACAAUUUCUUACACGCAUUUCGAGAGAAAACGUUGAAAAGCGUUGAAAUAUAUAUUAACAGUCCGUGAUGUCUCGAAGGAAGGGGUAAAUUGUAAAAGAAACUGCGUUCGAUUCUCCGCAAAUUUCUCCUCGGAAAAUUCAACGUUCGUAUACGACAAUUAAUGCGUCGACGAGGAGAGCCAAAGAUGCGAAUGCAGGAACGACUGUAAUAAAAGGACACGGCAGGAGUCCUCUUCUACGAGUUCGACAAUCGAUUUCGCUAACCGCGGACCGAAAACGGGAAGGAUCAACGGGAGAGAUCCUACACGGGCUAUAGACGACACACUCGGCGAGUUGUGGACCCGACACACGGCGGAGCAUUACUAGAGAGGGAGGACGCCCGUCGUCGGCUAAAUUAACAACGCAAAAAAUUCAAUAUUGCAUGAUUCCGUGUCCCGACGCAUUCGCACGCACGCACAACGCAUGCACGCGUUUACACGCUGACGAGGAGCACGUGCGGAGACUCGUUUUCGCGCGUGUAUCUGUCAGCACGGAGGUAAGCGCCAGGCAAAACGCGUUCGCGCGAGUAACAAUGUAUCCAACAAUGAUGCAUCUUGCAUAAAUAUAUAUAUCUAUAUGUA
Molecule: long non-coding RNA, 682 nt
Organism: Temnothorax curvispinosus
Lineage: Eukaryota; Metazoa; Arthropoda; Insecta; Hymenoptera; Formicidae
Exons: 3
Source: RefSeq, a predicted model, not a curated record